CACGUAGGGCGCGAGCGUUGUCCGGAAUUAUUGGGCGUAAAGAGCUCGUAGGUGGCCUGUCGCGUCGGCUGUGAAAACUCGGGGCUCAACUCCGAGCUUGCAGUCGAUACGGGCAGGCUAGAGUUCGGCAGGGGAGACUGGAAUUCCUGGUGUAGCGGUGAAAUGCGCAGAUACCAGGAGGAACACCGGUGGCGAAGGCGGGUCUCUGGGCCGAUACUGACACUGAGGAGCGAAAGCGUGGGGAGCGAACAGG
This 253-nucleotide ribosomal RNA is filed under the name uncultured bacterium. Its description in RNAcentral is "partial 16S ribosomal RNA". It matches the Rfam family "Bacterial small subunit ribosomal RNA", at positions 524 to 776 of the family's 1533-position model. The record is from RNAcentral.